GCCGGUAAGGUGAUAUGAACCGUUAUAACCGGCGAUACCCGAAUGGGGAAACCCAGUGUGAUUCGUCACACUAUCAUUAACUGAAUCCAUAGGUUAAUGAGGCGAACCGGGGGAACUGAAACAUCUAAGUACCCCGAGGAAAAGAAAUCAACCGAGAUUCCCCCAGUAGCGGCGAGCGAACGGGGAGGAGCCCAGAGCCUGAAUCAGCAUGUGUGUUAGUGGAAGCGUCUGGAAAGGCGCGCGAUACAGGGUGACAGCCCCGUACACAAAAGCGCAUGUGCUGUGAGCUCGAUGAGUAGGGCGGGACACGUGGUAUCCUGUCUGAAUAUGGGGGGACCAUCCUCCAAGGCUAAAUACUCCUGACUGACCGAUAGUGAACCAGUACCGUGAGGGAAAGGCGAAAAGAACCCCGGCGAGGGGAGUGAAAAAGAACCUGAAACCGU
This 443-nucleotide ribosomal RNA is filed under the name Salmonella enterica subsp. enterica serovar Derby. Its description in RNAcentral is "partial 23S ribosomal RNA". It matches the Rfam family "Bacterial large subunit ribosomal RNA", at positions 77 to 559 of the family's 2925-position model. RNAcentral also lists the same sequence under 1 other name. The record is from RNAcentral. Lineage: Bacteria; Pseudomonadati; Pseudomonadota; Gammaproteobacteria; Enterobacterales; Enterobacteriaceae.